RNAcentral lists this ribosomal RNA (483 nucleotides) under uncultured Micrococcus sp. Its description in RNAcentral is "bacterial SSU rRNA". It matches the Rfam family "Bacterial small subunit ribosomal RNA", at positions 383 to 876 of the family's 1533-position model. The record is from RNAcentral. Lineage: Bacteria; Bacillati; Actinomycetota; Actinomycetes; Micrococcales; Micrococcaceae.
CUGAUGCAGCGACGCCGCGUGAGGGAUGACGGCCUUCGGGUUGUAAACCUCUUUCAGCAGGGAAGAAGCGAAAGUGACGGUACCUGCAGAAGAAGCACCGGCUAACUACGUGCCAGCAGCCGCGGUAAUACGUAGGGUGCGAGCGUUAUCCGGAAUUAUUGGGCGUAAAGAGCUCGUAGGCGGUUUGUCACGUCUGUCGUGAAAGUCCGGGGCUUAACCCCGGAUCUGCGGUGGGUACGGGCAGACUAGAGUGCAGUAGGGGAGACUGGAAUUCCUGGUGUAGCGGUGGAAUGCGCAGAUAUCAGGAGGAACACCGAUGGCGAAGGCAGGUCUCUGGGCUGUAACUGACGCUGAGGAGCGAAAGCAUGGGGAGCGAACAGGAUUAGAUACCCUGGUAGUCCAUGCCGUAAACGUUGGGCACUAGGUGUGGGGACCAUUCCACGGUUUCCGCGCCGCAGCUAACGCAUUAAGUGCCCCGCCUGG